ACAAAUUAAAAAUAAUUUUGAUUAAAUUAAAAUUAAGCUAAAGGUGCACCUUCCAGUACCCCUACUUUGUU
Molecule: transfer RNA, 71 nt
Filed under: Strigamia maritima
Lineage: Eukaryota; Metazoa; Arthropoda; Chilopoda; Geophilomorpha; Linotaeniidae
Description: tRNA-Leu
Source: RNAcentral